Molecule: non-coding RNA, 83 nt
Filed under: Ancrocorticia populi
Lineage: Bacteria; Bacillati; Actinomycetota; Actinomycetes; Actinomycetales; Actinomycetaceae
Description: TPP riboswitch (THI element)
Rfam family: TPP riboswitch aptamer (THI element)
About the family: Vitamin B(1) in its active form thiamin pyrophosphate (TPP) is an essential coenzyme that is synthesised by coupling of pyrimidine and thiazole moieties in bacteria. The previously detected thiamin-regulatory element, thi box was extended, resulting in a new, highly conserved RNA secondary structure, the THI element, which is widely distributed in eubacteria and also occurs in some archaea.
Source: RNAcentral
GACAGGGGAGCGCCGCCUCGGCGCUGAGAGUGCGAAAGCAGACCCUCGAACCUGAUCCGGGUUAUACCGGCGCUAGGGAGUCG